UCCUAGCCCCGAUAGCAGUGGAAAUCCUUUUGCUUUUUGCUGCCAAAAAGCAAAAGAUUGCAACGAAUAGCGGGACGAGUG
RNAcentral lists this small RNA (81 nucleotides) under Flavobacterium resistens. Its description in RNAcentral is "Flavo-1 RNA". It matches the Rfam family "Flavo-1 RNA". The record is from RNAcentral. Lineage: Bacteria; Pseudomonadati; Bacteroidota; Flavobacteriia; Flavobacteriales; Flavobacteriaceae.